AGGAUAAACGCUGGCGGCGUGCCUAACACAUGCAAGUCGAACGUCUCUUUCUUCGGGAAGAGGAGUGGCGGACGGGUGAGGAACACGUGGGAACCUGCCCUACAGUGAGGAAUACCGGCGAGAAAUCGCCGACAAGACCGCAUAGCCCUCUCUGGUGAGAGCCAGAGAAGGAAAGCUUCGCAAGAGGCGCUGGAGGAGGGGCCUGCGUCCGAUUAGCUAGUUGGUGGGGUAAGAGCCUACCAAGGCGUCGAUCGGUAGCUGGUCUGAGAGGACGAUCAGCCACACUGGGAUUGAGAACGGCCCAGACUCCUACGGGGGGCAGCAGUGAGGAAUUUUCCGCAAUGGGCGAAAGCCUGACGGAGCAACGCCGCGUGUGGGAUGACGCUUUUCGGAGUGUAAACCACUUUUCUUGGGGACGACGAGCGACGGUACCCGAGGAAUAAGGACCGGCUAACUACGUGCCAGCAGCCGC
RNAcentral lists this ribosomal RNA (472 nucleotides) under uncultured bacterium. RNAcentral's name for it is "SSU rRNA". It matches the Rfam family "Bacterial small subunit ribosomal RNA", at positions 26 to 518 of the family's 1533-position model. The record is from RNAcentral.